AAAAAAGCAAACCGCGGGUUUACGUACCAAUGUUUGACUAUCCGUCUUAUAUGAAAUUUUUUUAUAAUUAGUAUUUUCAUUGUUGUUAGAUGAUAAAACAUGAUGAAUACUUUAUGCGUGACUUAUCUUUUUAAUUUUUUUCAUAAUUUUUUCAAAUAAGACGGACGGUCAAACAUUGGACACGGAAACCAGGGUUUGUCUUUUU
Molecule: microRNA precursor, 205 nt
Filed under: Oryza sativa Japonica Group (Japanese rice)
Lineage: Eukaryota; Viridiplantae; Streptophyta; Magnoliopsida; Poales; Poaceae
Description: MIR812 microRNA precursor family
Rfam family: MIR812 microRNA precursor family
Source: Rfam by way of RNAcentral